Molecule: ribosomal RNA, 492 nt
Filed under: uncultured bacterium
Lineage: Bacteria
Description: partial 16S ribosomal RNA
Rfam family: Bacterial small subunit ribosomal RNA
Source: RNAcentral
AGUGAACGCUGGCGGUAGGCCUAACACAUGCAAGUCGAACGGCAGCACAGUGAGAGCUUGCUCUUACGGGUGGCGAGUGGCGGACGGGUGAGGAAUACAUCGGAAUCUACUUUUUCGUGGGGGGUAACGUAGGGAAACUUACGCUAAUACCGCAUACGACCUACGGGUGAAAGUAGGGGAUCUUCGGACCUUGCGCGAUUGAAUGAGCCGAUGUCGGAUUAGCUAGUUGGCGGGGUAAAGGCCCACCAAGGCGACGAUCCGUAGCUGGUCUGAGAGGAUGAUCAGCCACACUGGAACUGAGACACGGUCCAGACUCCUACGGGAGGCAGCAGUGGGGAAUAUUGGACAAUGGGCGCAAGCCUGAUCCAGCCAUACCGCGUGGGUGAAGAAGGCCUUCGGGUUGUAAAGCCCUUUUGUUGGGAAAGAAAAGCAGCAGGUUAAUACCCCGCUGUUCUGACGGUACCCAAAGAAUAAGCACCGGCUAACUUCGUG